CUACCAGGCGCGUAGCAACCCGUACGCAAAAACGCAGUUGCGUACACAUCGAAAAUUUGACAAAAAUAAAAAUAUGGUAAAUCUAGUAAGAAUAAAACUUAAGUAAUAGAAUUAAUUAUAAAGAUGUUAUAAAAAUAUGUUAAUAGUCACUUUGUAAUUAUAUUCCGUUCCGGAAACUAGUUUUCUCUUUACAUUUUCGGGACCAGCAUCGUGAUUGUGCUGCUGAUGCAAACAAUUAAAAUAGCUGAGUCCUCGGGGUUUCAGAAUACAAUAAGUGCGUCUACUAUGCCUCCUUACCCUGACAUCUUUUCUGAAGAUUUCAAAAUGACUGAUGAAAUAAAACGUGAUGUUCUAUUAAUUAAGGGUAAUAUUUUUGCAACCUAUAUUCGCCGGGUUUUUUUUUGACGAUCAACGUGUUUUUUACUUUUUUAUUUUAUGUUCGGUCAUGCAAGAUGGGUGCCUCGUUCAUUUAAUUAUACGUGUCUCGAGAUUUAAAGUGCUUAUUCUCCAUGUGCAAAAUUUAAAGUGAUUGUUUUCCUUGCUUUGUAAAAAUAAAAGACUCGAUUUUGGAAAUUGAUAAAAAGAACUCAGAUUUAGUUUGAAGCUUUU
Molecule: long non-coding RNA, 609 nt
Filed under: Mytilus galloprovincialis (Mediterranean mussel)
Lineage: Eukaryota; Metazoa; Mollusca; Bivalvia; Mytilida; Mytilidae
Source: RNAcentral